AAAAAACAUGUCCUGCUGUUAAUUUAUAGCAGGUCUAGCCUGCUCAAUGAUUAGAAUAUCUAGUUAAAUAGCCGCAGUAUUUUGACUGUGCAAAGGUAGCAUAAUCAAUUGUCUCUUAAUUAGAGGCUUGUAUGAAUGGUUUAAUGAAAAAUAAACUUUCUUUUUAAAAAUUGAUGAAUUUAAUUUUUAGGUUAAAAAGCUUAAAUGGUUUUGUGGGACGAGAAGACCCUAUAGAAAUUUACUAUUGGUGUAGUAUUUAUUGUUAUUUUAAUUUUAGAUUAAUGCUUAUUUCGAUAGUUUUGUUGGGGCGACAUAGAGAUUUUAAAAACUCUCUUUUUUUGUAAAUUAUAAAUACAUAUAUUAUUGAUCCUUUAUUAAGGAUAUUAAGAUUAAUUUACCUUAGGGAUAACAGCGUAAUUCCU
RNAcentral lists this ribosomal RNA (422 nucleotides) under Coptosoma scutellatum. Its description in RNAcentral is "partial 16S ribosomal RNA". The stretch from base 1 to 147 matches the Rfam family "Archaeal large subunit ribosomal RNA", at positions 1900 to 2084 of the family's 2987-position model. Lineage: Eukaryota; Metazoa; Arthropoda; Insecta; Hemiptera; Plataspidae. The record is from RNAcentral.